UGGGGAAUAUUGCACAAUGGAGGGAACUCUGAUGCAGCGACGCCGCGUGAACGAAGAAGGCUUUCGAGUCGUAAAGUUCUUUUAUAUGGGAAGAUAAUGACGGUACCAUAAGAAAAAGCCCCGGCUAACUACGUGCCAGCAGCCGCGGUAAUACGUAGGGGGCUAGCGUUGUCCGGAAUCACUGGGCGUAAAGGGUUCGCAGGCGGAAAUGCAAGUCAGGUGUAAAAGGCAGUAGCUUAACUACUGUAAACAUUUGAAACUGCAUAUCUUGAGAGGAGUGGAGGUAAGUGGAAAUUUUAGUGUAGCGGUGAAAUGCGUAGAUAUUAGAAAGAAUACCGGUGGCGAAAGCGACUUACUGGGCUCAUUCUGACGCUGAGGAACGAAAGCGUGGGUAGCAAACAGG
This 403-nucleotide ribosomal RNA is filed under the name Verrucomicrobiota bacterium. RNAcentral's name for it is "Verrucomicrobia bacterium partial 16S ribosomal RNA". It matches the Rfam family "Bacterial small subunit ribosomal RNA", at positions 355 to 776 of the family's 1533-position model. Lineage: Bacteria; Pseudomonadati; Verrucomicrobiota. The record is from RNAcentral.